UCCUGACUCUUCUCCAAAGAACUGGAGGGUUCAGAGUGUGCCACGGAAACCCAACUCACAGGAAGGCUGGAAGCAGGGAGACUCUUCCUGCUUCCGACGAAACGUGCAAGGACAAAGUCAGUGUCAAAGGGAUGCAAAUUUCAAACUCCUUGCUUUCCCACUCAGCUACAUUUAACCAUUCCUAUCGCCAUACAGCGUGCAUGGACAAGUCUUGCCAAAUUCAGGGUCACCCAGUGAAGGUGAGAGAGAACAAGCAAGAAGAAGUCUUCCUCCCGCCCCAGCCAACAGCGUGGACUAGAAUUGCCGGAACACCUUAUAAAAAUCUUGUUUGUUUGUUUCAUAGGCCACCUUUCUCCUAAUAAGGGGACCCAAGGUGGCUCACAAUAUUAAAAAGAAUAGAAUUAAAAAUCAUCGUAAGUUAAACAUUAAAAAAACAAUUAAACGAUAUGCUAAUUAAAAUACAAUUGAAGAGUUAAAAGCAACUGUGAGUGCAAAAGGAGUGUUUGCUUUUGAUUGCACUCAUAGUGAAAUGUCUCCAAAGUCAGGAACACCAUAAAACUGGGUUUAUUUGUAACUGUAGGUAGGGCUUGGCUAAUGGUAAGAAAAACAUUUGUGCACACAGAGAUGCAUGUGCGUAUGUACACAUAUACACACACAUUGCUCCUUGCUCCAAGAGUUCUUCAACCAGGUAAAUCAGGUAAGCAGAGUGCUAGCAUCAGAUGGUACCUCCAAGAGUUCUUCAACCAGGUAAAUCAGAUGGUAUAUACUGGUGUCUUUUACAGGAGCAGCAUUUCUUACUGUGUGCCCCUCUAGGUUGCUAAUUUUUCAUGUUGUGAUCUGCUACAAAUUCCCAGACUUCCUAGUUUGAGCACUGCAACACUCAGGUACAUUAUUCACUAGCACAUAUCAUAAAGGCAUACAGAACACUCUGCAGUUAAUAUAAACUUAUAUUGGCAAUCCUAAACAAGCCAAAUGUGUGUGUCCUGAUGCUAUUGAAAAACCAGAAUCAAAAUCCUGUUGAGUUCUCCAGACCAUGUUGUCCCAUUGAUUUCACUACUGAACUCACAGUGAUGGGCAGUGCAAUCCACCAUUUAUUUAUUUUUUAAAGUAAUUCUCACCAUGUCCCCAUUGCAUUAUGACUGCCACAGUCUCCAGAUGCAAUGGAGCUUCUGUCUCUGAAAAGGCAUUCGCCAAAUAAGAUGGCACAAAUAAUCUUGGCCAAAUGUCUACAUAUAUAUUAGUAAAACAAACAAAACGUUCAGAAGAUUUCUUUUCUAAAAGUGUAAAUCCAGCUGAUUUUGACUUCAGCAUUCAAAACCUUCAGUUUCUCUAUCAAUAUAUUUUUGGCUCUAGUCUCUA
This 1359-nucleotide long non-coding RNA is filed under the name Pogona vitticeps (central bearded dragon). Its description in RNAcentral is "lncRNA (ENSPVIG00000009143.1)". The record is from RNAcentral. Lineage: Eukaryota; Metazoa; Chordata; Lepidosauria; Squamata; Agamidae.